UACGGGGGGGGCAAGCGUUGUUCGGAAUUACUGGGCGUAAAGCGUGCGCAGGCGGUUUUUUAAGCCAGAUGUGAAAUCCCCGGGCUUAACCUGGGAAUGGCAUUUGGGACUGCAAGGCUCGAGUGCGGCAGAGGAGACUGGAAUUCCUGGUGUAGCAGUGAAAUGCGUAGAUAUCAGGAGGAACACCGAUGGCGAAGGCAGGUCUCUGGGCUGACACUGACGCUCAUGCACGAAAGCGUGGGGAGCAAACAGG
RNAcentral lists this ribosomal RNA (253 nucleotides) under uncultured bacterium. RNAcentral describes it as "partial 16S ribosomal RNA". It matches the Rfam family "Bacterial small subunit ribosomal RNA", at positions 524 to 776 of the family's 1533-position model. The record is from RNAcentral.